Molecule: ribosomal RNA, 497 nt
Filed under: uncultured bacterium
Lineage: Bacteria
Description: partial 16S ribosomal RNA
Rfam family: Bacterial small subunit ribosomal RNA
Source: RNAcentral
GACGAACGCUGGCGGCGUGCCUAAUACAUGCAAGUUGAGCGCUGAAGGUUGGUACUUGUACCAACUGGAUGAGCAGCGAACGGGUGAGUAACGCGUGGGGAAUCUGCCUUUGAGCGGGGGACAACAUUUGGAAACGAAUGCUAAUACCGCAUAAAAACUUUAAACACAAGUUUUAAGUUUUAAAGAUGCGAUUGCAUCACUCAAAGAUGAUCCCGCGUUGUAUUAGCUAGUUGGUGAGGUAAAGGCUCACCAAGGCGAAGAUACAUAGCCGACCUGAGAGGGUGAUCGGCCACAUUGGGACUGAGACACGGCCCAAACUCCUACGGGAGGCAGCAGUAGGGAAUCUUCGGCAAUGGACGAAAGUCUGACCGAGCAACGCCGCGUGAGUGAAGAAGGUUUUCGGAUCGUAAAACUCUGUUGGUAGAGAAGAACGUUGGUGAGAGUGGAAAGCUCAUCAAGUGACGGUAACUACCCAGAAAGGGACGGCUAACUACGUG